Molecule: ribosomal RNA, 402 nt
Filed under: Verrucomicrobiota bacterium
Lineage: Bacteria; Pseudomonadati; Verrucomicrobiota
Description: Verrucomicrobia bacterium partial 16S ribosomal RNA
Rfam family: Bacterial small subunit ribosomal RNA
Source: RNAcentral
UGGGGAAUUUUGCACAAUGGGGGAACCCCUGAUGCAGCGACGCCGCGUGAUUUAGUAGGCCUUCGGGUUGUAAAAAUCUUUUGUAGGGGAAGAAAAUGACAGUACCAUACGAAUAAGGACCGGCUAAUUACGUGCCAGCAGCCGCGGUAAUACGUAAGGUCCGAGCGUUGUCCGGAAUCAUUGGGCGUAAAGGGUACGUAGGCGGAUAAGCAAGUUAGAAGUGAAAUCCUAUAGCUCAACUAUAGUAAGCUUUUAAAACUGCUCAUCUUGAGGUAUGGAAGGGAAAGUGGAAUUCCUAGUGUAGCGGUGAAAUGCGCAGAUAUUAGGAGGAAUACCGGUGGCGAAGGCGACUUUCUGGCCAUAAACUGACGCUGAGGUACGAAAGCGUGGGUAGCAAACAGG